RNAcentral lists this ribosomal RNA (348 nucleotides) under Sphingobacterium sp. RNAcentral describes it as "bacterial SSU rRNA". It matches the Rfam family "Bacterial small subunit ribosomal RNA", at positions 1098 to 1454 of the family's 1533-position model. The record is from RNAcentral. Lineage: Bacteria; Pseudomonadati; Bacteroidota; Sphingobacteriia; Sphingobacteriales; Sphingobacteriaceae.
CCACCCCUNUGUUUUGUUGCCCGCCNGUCANGGUGGGGACUCUAAACAGACUGCCUGUGCAAACAGAGAGGAAGGUGGGGACGACGUCAAGUCAUCAUGGCCCUUACGUCCGGGGCUACACACGUGCUACAAUGGAUGGUACAGCGGGCAGCUACAUAGCAAUAUGAUGCUAAUCUCUAAAAGCCAUUCACAGUUCGGAUUGGGGUCUGCAACUCGACCCCAUGAAGUUGGAUUCGCUAGUAAUCGCGUAUCAGCAAUGACGCGGUGAAUACGUUCCCGGGCCUUGUACACACCGCCCGUCAAGCCAUGAAAGUUGGGGGUACCUAAAGCAUGUUACCGCAAGGAGCG